Molecule: ribosomal RNA, 1130 nt
Filed under: Bacillus sp. (in: firmicutes)
Lineage: Bacteria; Bacillati; Bacillota; Bacilli; Caryophanales; Bacillaceae
Description: bacterial SSU rRNA
Source: RNAcentral
GCAAGUCGAGCGAACAGAAGGGAGCUUGCUCCCGGAUGUUAGCGGCGGACGGGUGAGUAACACGUGGGUAACCUGCCUGUAAGACUGGGAUAACUCCGGGAAACCGGAGCUAAUACCGGAURGUUCCUUGAACCGCAUGGUUCAAGGAUGAAAGACGGUUUCGGCUGUCACUUACAGAUGGACCCGCGGCGCAUUAGCUAGUUGGUGGGGUAAUGGCUCACCAAGGCGACGAUGCGUAGCCGACCUGAGAGGGUGAUCGGCCACACUGGGACUGAGACACGGCCCAGACUCCUACGGGAGGCAGCAGUAGGGAAUCUUCCGCAAUGGACGAAAGUCUGACGGAGCAACGCCGCGUGAGUGAUGAAGGUUUUCGGAUCGUAAAGCUCUGUUGUUAGGGAAGAACAAGUGCGAGAGUAACUGCUCGCACCUUGACGGUACCUAACCAGAAAGCCACGGCUAACUACGUGCCAGCAGCCGCGGUAAUACGUAGGUGGCAAGCGUUGUCCGGAAUUAUUGGGCGUAAAGGGCUCGCAGGCGGUUUCUUAAGUCUGAUGUGAAAGCCCCCGGCUCAACCGGGGAGGGUCAUUGGAAACUGGGAAACUUGAGUGCAGAAGAGGAGAGUGGAAUUCCACGUGUAGCGGUGAAAUGCGUAGAGAUGUGGAGGAACACCAGUGGCGAAGGCGACUCUCUGGUCUGUAACUGACGCUGAGGAGCGAAAGCGUGGGGAGCGAACAGGAUUAGAUACCCUGGUAGUCCACGCCGUAAACGAUGAGUGCUAAGUGUUAGGGGGUUUCCGCCCCUUAGUGCUGCAGCUAACGCAUUAAGCACUCCGCCUGGGGAGUACGGUCGCAAGACUGAAACUCAAAGGAAUUGACGGGGGCCCGCACAAGCGGUGGAGCAUGUGGUUUAAUUCGAAGCAACGCGAAGAACCUUACCAGGUCUUGACAUCCUCUGACAACCCUAGAGAUAGGGCUUUCCCUUCGGGGACAGAGUGACAGGUGGUGCAUGGUUGUCGUCAGCUCGUGUCGUGAGAUGUUGGGUUAAGUCCCGCAACGAGCGCAACCCUUGAUCUUAGUUGCCAGCAUUUAGUUGGGCACUCUAAGGUGACUGCCGGUGACAAACCGGAGGAA